Molecule: long non-coding RNA, 1389 nt
Organism: Octopus bimaculoides (California two-spot octopus)
Lineage: Eukaryota; Metazoa; Mollusca; Cephalopoda; Octopoda; Octopodidae
Source: RefSeq, a predicted model, not a curated record
GUUAGCUGCCAGUCUGUCUUGUCUGUUAUUGUGUGUGCCUAUAUGUCCUGUCUGAGAAUCAGCUGUAUCGGUCACACCCACUGAGGAUGAUAUACAAAGGCUAUGGCCACUGUCCACCUAACCAGAGGUAUGGAAUUGAAAAUUCACAGUUUGCUAACAUUGCAUCCAUAACCUGCUGAAAAAUUGCAGGUGCGACCAUUAAACCAAAUGGUAAUCUGGUGUUAUGAAGCUUAUAUUGUUUUUACCCAGUUUGCUGAAAUUGGUGUCUCCAGCAAGAUUUAUAUCUACAUUAUGACAUUUGUCUUACUUUGUAUUGUAUCAUGGAAUUGAUGUCAGCUCCAGUUUGGAAAACCUGUAAAUUGUACCUUCCUUUCUCCAACCACAACCAUGCCUCACUAUCACAAUUUUCAGCAGCUAUCAUUGGAAGUCUAUCAUGCGAAGGCUUCUCUUGCAAGUCAGAUAAUCUUGCUUAUUUUAUUUUUUUUUUAACUGCAUUUGAUUUUUUGGUUUCUCAAAUUUCUGCUGUUACACUAGCAACUCUUAAUAUAAUUUCUUCACUAUUACCUUGUAGGUGGCUAUAUCUACUGUACACAGUCUUCUACUGAUAUUAACCCUGUACCACCUUCCUUCUUAGGUAAAUAUAAUCUUGCUUCUACUGCUCUAAGAUGAAGUUCAUUUGUAUUGAAUUCAUAUUGAGUUCUUCUGUCAAGAUAUGCUAAUUCAGAUUUUGCCUGAUGUACAAAAGCUGCUGAGUAUCUAAGUAAUGAUACUGCCCGAGUAUUUACAGCCUUCACUAAAUUUGGACCGUUUAGCUUUGACUUAACUAGCUUCCUCAUCCUUCUGAUGUACUCUGUCAAAUACUUGGAAUCUAGGAGUAUUGGAAUCCCUCUUUCAGUGAUUUUAAUGUCAGGCCUUCUGAUAACUGAAUACCUUCACUGCUGACUGCCUGUCCCUUUUUUAUGACUAAUUUUUCACACUUAUCUAUGCCAAAUUCCAUACCUAUAUCUUUGCUGAAGAAGCUUACAGUCUGUAUUAAAGAAUCUAUCUCUUUAAUUUUUACUAAAAAGCUUCAAAUCAUCCAUGUGGGGCAAAUAGUUAAUUUUUCCUUUACUUUCUCUAAACUGAUACCUUGCCUAAUACUAAACAGAGUGGGGUUAAACAUAACACAAGUAUUAAAGAGGAUAAUGAGUCUCCCUAGAAAAUCCUCUCUUGAUGUUAAUUUCCAUAAAACUGUAUCACCUGAGUAAAGAUCUACUUUCCAUUUCUUCCUGAUUAAACUUCUUAUGUUGUCUGCAAUACAGAAUAUACUCAAACAUUCACUUAUCCAUAUAUGUGGCAUCAUUUCAUGAGCUUUCUUAUAAUCUUUCUAUGCUAUUCUUAAAUUUUUCU